GUGCCACCGCCGCGGUACUACUGGCAGCCCGAGUGAUGGCCGAUCUUAUUGGGCCUAAAGCGUCCGUAGCUGGCCGACCAAGGCUCCCGGGAAAUCCACCCGCCCAACGGGUGGGCGUCCGGUAGAAACUGGCCGGCUUGGAACUGGAAGGCUCAGAGAGUACGUCCGGGGUAGGAGUGAAAUCCCGUAAUCCCGGACGGACUACCGAUGGCGAAAGCACUCUGAGAAGACGGCUUCGACAGUGAGGGACGAAAGCUCGGGUCUCAAACCGGAUUAGAUACCCGAGUAGUCC
Molecule: ribosomal RNA, 292 nt
Filed under: uncultured bacterium
Lineage: Bacteria
Description: partial 16S ribosomal RNA
Rfam family: Archaeal small subunit ribosomal RNA
Source: RNAcentral